GUUCAGGAGGACACAUCAUACUCCUCCUAGAAUACGGUCUCUGGAGGCAGGAAAUGAGUAGACAAGAAAGCCAUGUGACAUAGGGCAGGCAGCUCUAAACCCAAAAGACAAAAAGUUAGGCAAUCUUCCAGAUCACCAAAACAGACAAAGAUGUUUGUUUACAAGAACUUCCUGAUAAAGCAGGCGAUGUGGCUUGGGUUCUUGUUUGGUUGUCUUUCCCCUUUCUGUAUGAAUCAAUACCGUAUUCACCUCAGUUCUUCUCCAUUUGUACAUUCUUAUUUAAACGCGGCUCAGACACAAUUGUUUGAAGCAGACCAUUCCAGGGGUUAGAAGAGAGGAACCCCAGGGACAAAGGAGGAACCUUCAGAAUUAGAUCAAGGGUGUCACAAGCAGUCCAAAAGUCUGGGUGGCACUUUAGGGGUAAAUGAAAACUGGCCCACAGAAAGCACUGAAUUUUACAAAUAAAAAUGCUAGCUCAUCCCCAUGUGGGGCAUGUGACAAAUGUGACAUUUGCAAUAUUAUGAAUCUAUGAAGGUCAAGUUUUGCUUUUCAUUUCUGAGGCUACUGACUACAAAGAGGGUUUUUUUUUUUCCUAUAAAAAUUCUUUGUGCAAAACCUUGAAGGCAACAGUACUGGAAAUGAUUUUUAAAACAGAACUCAAAUAAUAUGGUCUCCCAGGAAGUAGUUUUGAAUAAUAUACAAAGAAAAAACUGAAUUACGUUCGGAGCCUCCUCCAUAGAUGCUGUCCCUGAGGAGCUGAGCCCAGACCGCCUCUAGAGAGUGGGGGUUUCAUCCAAGAUAAACUCAGCCACCGUGGACCAAGUCCUGCAUCAGCCACCUGCCAGCUACAGCUCACGAUGGAUCUGAACAAACUCCUCAAAUUGGACAGAAAAAGUUUUGAACCUCAGUCAUUUUCGUCUCCCCGAGUUGAUGAAAACCCCAUGGCACAUCACUUCCGGAGCUGUUCUAUCCAAAGGAAGACAGGAUUCGUCUACCUAUGCUACAGGAACUCACCAUGGAAACAACAGAACCGAAGAAAAUUAAGCGGAACAAAGCAACAUUGCUGCGACUCCUCAACACAGGCAGCAACCGUUGAAGGAAAAAAAAUUUUUAAAUGGGCUUCAAAGAAUGUAAGGGCUGGAGAAUGCGGAGGAACGCUGAGAAACACUGUCUAUUGAUGAACUCUCAACCACCGUGCUGACCUGCACAAGAUGAAGCCAAGCCAAACCCCAGUGCGUAAAGGGAAGCCAUUGCCAACUGGUGAUUGUUGGAAGAAGGAGAACUGAUUUUCUUUAGGGAGGCAGACCCUGGGAAGCUACCUGAGCCAUUUGUGGAGGAAUCACCCUGUGCACGUAUUCGCAGCACUAAGUUGACUCAGUGAGUAUAAAAAGAAAAGCGCGUGGGGCGGAGAGGGGAAAGUGGUGCCUUGGGAGUCGGGCGGAGAGGAAGUAGAGCAGAAGGAACUCAGGGUAGAUUCGAUUCAAACUCACUUUAGGACACUUUAUGCUUUUCAGAAAGGUCAUUGAGGAAGACAAGAGAGCUGUUUAAAAUAUUGAUUGGAAAACAACUAUGAGUAUGGAAAGUUGCACUUCUAAAUCUAAACACACUUUCAAACUUUCCAAUGCCUUGAAAAGAGCUAGAUUGGCGAUCCUAAAAUGAAAAAUUAUCUUAAUGAGUUACAAAUUUAGAAAGAGAUUCUCCAGUUGUGUCUAAUUUAACUUGAUAGUUAAGUGUUCCAAAAAUAUAUCUUUAAAUUCCUGCUGCAAAAAUGUACAUAGUGAUGCUUAAAUUAAAAUGACUUUUAGAGUUAGGCACAUGCUACGUGUCUUCUUGGUCACCUUUCUCUUUCCUUUCUGUGUAU
Long non-coding RNA from Mus musculus (house mouse), 1861 nucleotides. RefSeq annotates it as predicted gene, 33273. NCBI's taxonomy places the organism in Eukaryota, Metazoa, Chordata, Mammalia, Rodentia, Muridae. The transcript is spliced from 3 exons. The record is from RefSeq and is a predicted model, not a curated record.